Long non-coding RNA from Xiphophorus couchianus (Monterrey platyfish), 1511 nucleotides. RefSeq lists it as uncharacterized. Lineage: Eukaryota; Metazoa; Chordata; Actinopteri; Cyprinodontiformes; Poeciliidae. The record is from RefSeq and is a predicted model, not a curated record. The transcript has 2 exons.
ACAAAAGGAACAAAUAAAAAAAUCAAGUAAUAUUCUCGAUACAAAGUGAUGGGGCAGAAGUUUACAAAACAUCAUUUUGGGGUGAAAACAAAAAGAAGAUAUAUUAUGAAAGCAAUACGUGAUUUUUAUAAGACUACAAAUUAUGUAAUAUUGUUUAUGUUAUCAUUGUUGGUAACCCCGAAAUAUUUGGAUCAGAGCCUAAAAAUAAAUUCAUUUUUAAACCAGAGGAAUGCGCCUACACAAAAUAUAGUUAUUAUUAUUAUUAUUUACAAAAUAUUAGAUGCCACCCAGGAAUUAUAUGGGACAUGGGUAUGGAAAGCAAGAGGGUCAUGGAAGAUGGAAGAUAUUUUUGUCUGGAGGACAUUCUUGCCAGUAAUUACAACUUUUUCCUCAUUAUUCUAAGGUUCCAGGUGUCUUUGACAAAGAAACAGACACAUAUAAUCACUGAUCCUCCAUCGUAUUUAAUACUGAUAACAGAAACGGACAAUAGAUCACAAAAGCAAAAAAAAAAAUACAUAUAUAUAAGUUAUAGAAAUGCUUUAGUUACAUGUAUUUUGUGGAAACCAUUAAAGAUGCCUAACAAUUUAGGCAUCCCUAACUUGUGGCACCAAAACAAACAAAUAAAACAAAUGUUAUAAAAUGUUCCUCACUGAAAAAAAAAUACUCAAAUGAAAGACGUUUCUAAAUUUUGCAGUUUGAGAAUAUGCUUCUUUAAUUAAAAAUGACGUUAAUUCAAUGUUUUCUUGUCAAGACGAGGUCUGCACAAAUUCCGCACUCAGACUUGAACCUCGUACAUGGUUCAAUGUAGGUGUGAUCAUACUGUUAAAGCUUGUUUAAUAUAAGUCAGAUGCUGCUGGUUUUUGUGGAGAAACCAGUAAUGAACACUCAACAGAAUACUGUCAAAAGCUGUUCAAACAGAAAGCUUCAAAGAUUCCUCAGAAAGUAAAAGGAUGAGGGAAAAGUGUACAGCAGCAUGUUAGCGCGGUAAGGAGACCUCCACCAACACAGAGGUUUACCUGGUGGAGCGAAGAACUCCCAGCGUGACUUAGGGUUGCUGGAGGACUGCGGGGACUUGACACUGAUUUCAAACUCUACAGCAAAAUGAUAAAAAUACGUGGAUGGAAGAAAAACAGGGAAUGUGGGAGAGAAGGAAAACAGGGAAGGAAAUAAUGAGGGAUAGGAUAGGUGUGAAAAUCAGGAGCUGAAGCAGACAACCUGAGACUUUAAGUCAAACCAGGGAAAAGUUCUGUAUUUUUACUUAUGUGGUGGGUUUAGUAGAAUUUUAGUUAGUAAUAAGUAGACUCUUGGUAUUAGGACGUGCGAUUUAUUUUUUCAAUAUAUUUCAGUUGGCUCAAAACAGAUAUCUGAACGUUUUGUUUUUAAAAUGCUUUAAAGUGUCCUAUUGAUAUGGAUUAAAAUCUGUACACAACUAAGAAGUGACUACAAUAGGUUGUGAUCAGUCAUUUUAUCUUAUGUAAGCAGAAAGUUCUGAAAAGCUAAAAGAAAAACAG